AUUGAACGCUGGCGGCAUGCUUUACACAUGCAAGUCGAACGGCAGCGCGGGCUUCGGCCUGGCGGCGAGUGGCGAACGGGUGAGUAAUACAUCGGAACGUGCCCAGUAGUGGGGGAUAGCUCGGCGAAAGCAGGAUUAAUACCGCAUACGACCUGAGGGUGAAAGCGGGGGAUCUUUGGACAUCGCCCUAUUUGAGCGGCCGAUGGCAGAGUAGCUAGUUGGUGGGGUAAAGGCCUACCAAGGCGACGAUCUGUAGCUGGUCUGAGAGGACGACCAGCCACACUGGGACUGAGACACGGCCCAGACUCCUACGGGAGGCAGCAGUGGGGAAUUUUGGACAAUGGGCGAAAGCCUGAUCCAGCAAUGCCGCGUGUGUGAUGAAGGCCUUCGGGUUGUAAAGCACUUUUGGCGGGAACGAAAAGGACUGUGCCAAUACCACGGUUCGAUGACGGUACCCGCAGAAUAAGCACCGGCUAACUACGUG
Molecule: ribosomal RNA, 484 nt
Filed under: uncultured bacterium
Lineage: Bacteria
Description: partial 16S ribosomal RNA
Rfam family: Bacterial small subunit ribosomal RNA
Source: RNAcentral